Molecule: ribosomal RNA, 497 nt
Filed under: uncultured bacterium
Lineage: Bacteria
Description: partial 16S ribosomal RNA
Rfam family: Bacterial small subunit ribosomal RNA
Source: RNAcentral
GAUGAACGCUGGCGGCGUGCCUAAUACAUGCAAGUCGAGCGAACAGACGAGGAGCUUGCUCCUCUGACGUUAGCGGCGGACGGGUGAGUAACACGUGGAUAACCUACCUAUAAGACUGGGAUAACUUCGGGAAACCGGAGCUAAUACCGGAUAAUAUAUUGAACCGCAUGGUUCAGUAGUGAAAGACGGUUUUGCUGUCACUUAUAGAUGGAUCCGCGCCGCAUUAGCUAGUUGGUAAGGUAACGGCUUACCAAGGCAACGAUGGGUAGCCGACCUGAGAGGGUGAUCGGCCACACUGGAACUGAGACACGGUCCAGACUCCUACGGGAGGCAGCAGUAGGGAAUCGUCCGCAAUGGGCGAAAGCCUGACGGAGCAGCGCCGCGUGAGUGAUGAAGGUCUUCGGAUCGUAAAACUCUGUUAUUAGGGAAGAACAAAUGUGUAAGUAACUAUGCACGUCUUGACGGUACCUAAUCAGAAAGCCACGGCUAACUACGUG